GCUGGGCAUGGUGGCACAUGCCUGCAAUCCCAGCCACUUGAGAGGCUGAGGCAGGAGGAUCGCAAGUUCAAAGCCAGCCUCAGCAAAAGCAAGGCCCUAAGCAACUCAAUGAGACUCUGUCUCUA
Molecule: small RNA, 125 nt
Filed under: Marmota monax (woodchuck)
Lineage: Eukaryota; Metazoa; Chordata; Mammalia; Rodentia; Sciuridae
Source: RNAcentral